Molecule: long non-coding RNA, 3387 nt
Organism: Dermochelys coriacea (leatherback sea turtle)
Lineage: Eukaryota; Metazoa; Chordata; Testudines; Dermochelyidae
Exons: 3
Source: RefSeq, a predicted model, not a curated record
CGCGCGUGACGCAAAGCUAGCACGGCCGAGCCGGCGCCCUGGCAACCGCGGCUGAUGGCUCACGGGAGCGCGCCCCAGCUAAGACCGGCCAGCUGUUCAUAUCCAUUCUGUGCUGUCAGUAACAUUCAACUUGAUUUUGUCAACUGAAAUAGAAACAUUAAAUAGAGGAAAAAUGCUUCAGGAACAUCAAAGAAAACGUGGAAUAAUGGGCUGCUAUGGCCCACAUUUUACAACGUAUGUUUACAAGAUACUUGUUUUUUGCCAAAUGCUGGUAAAGUGAGGGAGAUAAUUGGAGGAACAAUGACCUCAUCUUUACUGAAGGCAUCUGUCAUUAUAUCACUAAGGUGGAAUGGUAGACAGUCGUGUACAUAGUGCCCAGAAACUUUGUGAUGGGCACAUUAAAAUUUUUUUAAAGAUUAGUAAAUUCUUCCAUUAAAAUUUUUUCCCCAUUUGAAUCCAUUAAUAGGACAACAAUUUUAUUUUUGGCAGAAGAAAAGCAGUUAAAAACCUUUCUAAAUGUCAACGAUCUAUCACUACCAGAUUAGUUGCCUUACCUGAUGCAAGCUGAAUGCAGUGUGUCCCUAUAAAUCUAGGGAAGGUAUUUAUAAAUUGUAAAAGCCUAGAAGUGAGUGUGAGAUAGAUUAGAUAGAUGGCACUCUAUUCUGUGAUAGACAAAUAGUUCUGCAGUCGGGGAAUAAUUCUGUGGAAACAUAGAGUAUAACAUGGUAGACAAUACUGAAGACUCAAAGAACAGAUAGAACAAUACCAUCCACUACUUCCAUCAUAACAAAAUCCUCCUUUGGAGUCUCAGGUGGAGACUCCUUUCUCUAAUACCAGAAGCAGCUACAGGGCUUUCACACUCCUUGGGGGAGAUACAGGCAUUCUUUCUCCUGUGUUACGGCUGUAGAAAAAUAUGAAACGUAAACAUCUGUAUAAUGUUCUAAUGAACUGGUUCGUGUGUGUAUGUGUCACUGCCUUCUGUCUGAAUGAAUCAAAACUCUUCAACUGUAUGUCAUAGCCCCUGUACUGCUAAUACUGAAUGGUUGCUUAUGCCUUAGUUCAAGUCUCUGGGACCUGUGCCUUUAGAGCAGGAGGAUUUCAGUUCUACUCCUGCUGUUGCUGAGACAGCCCAAAGAAGGCCAACAUUUUCCUUUCUGUUAUGAAAUGGAAACCAUAGUUAUUGAAGCAUGCUGAGACAGAAUGCAUUUACCGGAGACAGUGGGUAGCAGUUGUUUUUCCCUGCACCCCAGUUUGCUUGAACUACUUAAUUAGUCACAAUGUUUUCUGUAACUGAGGGUAGAACAAACUGUUACAGAUUUCAGUAGCACUAGAAAGGUAGUAGGGAGAUUGUGGAUGAAACUGAGAAACAUUUAAUCUAUUUUGGAGGUUGUGAGCAAAUCCAAGAAACAAAGCCCUAGGCAAAAGCAGCAGGUGGCAACCCGGGUGAAAGGGUAGUUCAGAGAAAUGGCAAAAGAGAGACAAUUGAAUGUACAACCCCAGCCAUGUGAAACUCUUCCAGAGGGGGCUGUCCUCCUGCUCUUCCAACAGAAUUCAAUGCUCUCCUCUCAAGAUAGACAUUCAUUCUGAAAUACUGGCUCCUUCAUAUUGCAUCAUCUUCCAUGGACAUGGAAGAUGAUGUUAGUCAAGUGCUCUGUAAAGCUUACACCACCAUCCUUACCAAGAAUCUGAAUCCUUGAGUCCUGUCUGCUCCUCCUCUUUUCCGUUCUGUUUUAGUUGAAUUUGAUGCUGUUCCCCCUCCUAGUACAUUAAUAGAUUUUAAAGCCAGAAGGGACUAUUAAAUCAUCUACUUUGACCUACUGCAUAACAUAGGCCAUAGAAUUUCACCUAGUUACCCCUGAAUUGAGCCAAAAUAACCUGUAGAUGACUAAAGCAUAUCUUCCAGAAAGGCAUUUGGUCUUGAUUUGAAGACAGCCAGAGAUGGAGAAUCCGGCACUUCCUUUGGUAUGUUCCAAUGCUAAUCACUCUCUCACUGUUAGAAAUAUGUAUCUCUUAUUUCUGAUUUGAUUUUUUCUGGCUUUAACUUCCAGCUAUUGGUUCCUGUAUGCCCUGUGAAGAUAUUUAUAUACCAUAAUCUGGUCACCUCAGGUCUUCUUUUAGAUAAGCUAAACAGAGAGAGCUUCUCACUAUGAGGCAUUUUCUUCAGCUCUUGAAAAAUUUGUAUGGAUCUUUUAUAGCUCCUCUCCAAUUUUUCAACAUUAUUUUUAAAAUGCGGAUCUCAGAAUUGGACACACUAUUCUAGUAUUGAUCUCACCAAUGCCGUAAUGAAGAAAAACCAUUUGUCUGUUCCUACUCACUAGUCCUGUGUUUAUGAAGCCAAGGAUCAUAUUAGCCCUUUUAGCCACAGCACUGCACUGGUAGCUCAUGAGUUGUUUGUGCACUAGGACCCCUCAUUUCUUUACAGAGUCACUGUUUUCCAGGACACCCCCACCCCACACACACACUUUAGGAAUGGCCUGCUUUCUUCAUUCCUAGCUGUAGGACCUUGCAUUUGUAUUAAAACCAUUUUAUUUGAAUGGGCCUCGCCUACCAAGGGGUCCAGAUUGCUGUGUAUGACUUGCCCUGUCCUCAUCGCUAUUUACCACUCUGCCAAUUUUUGUGUCCUUCUGCAAAUUUAAUCAGCUGUGACUUUAUAUUUACUUCCAGAUCAUUGAUUAAACUAUUGAAUGAAACAUUGGUGAAAGGUCUUGAAUUGACAGUUGAAGCCUUUGGUUUAUUCCCUGUGGCCAUGACAAUAGGAAAUAGGGGCACAGCAUGGAAUACGCAGCCCAAGGGGAGGGGAUGCUAAAGUGGCUUUGAGUCACCUUUGCACCUUCACAAUCCUGGUCUGCUCCAAGGAGCCCAGUGUAACUUAGAGAGUCCUUUGGUCCUAUCUAAGUUAUAAUAGCCUUUUUGGGCUGCCCUGUGGACUGUGGGACUGCCUGGAAUCUCUACAACAUUGCAUACUGUGAUCCUGCCCCCAAUACAAUCCUGCCUCCAGCAUGACACCAUCGCAGGCCUGGCAAAGAGGAUUUUGAAGGGCAGCCUUAUGUCCAUCUUGUGCAGUACCUGCAUCAGGGGAAUGCUCCUCUGGCAUGAACCAGGGCUUUUAUGAUCCCUUAUGCCACUCCAGCCCUUUUACUCAGUGUAAAGGUGUCAGGGUGGGUGUGAGGAUAUUACCGUGUGAAUGUAACAGCACCUUACCUCUUCCUAAUCUGUCAUUUUGACUGUGCCCAAGAGAACUCUAAAACAGCACUUCUGCAUUCCCAUUAAACCUUCAUUUUGAUCUGUGCAGCACCAUUGCACUGGGAAGUUCUUUCAUAGAUUCCAAGGCCAGUAUGAACCACUCUGAUUAUCUAGUCCAGGGGUCUCAAACAUGCGGAUGUGGCC